RNAcentral lists this ribosomal RNA (439 nucleotides) under uncultured bacterium. RNAcentral's name for it is "partial 16S ribosomal RNA". It matches the Rfam family "Bacterial small subunit ribosomal RNA", at positions 339 to 795 of the family's 1533-position model. The record is from RNAcentral.
CUACGGGCGGCUGCAGUGAGGAAUAUUGCACAAUGGGGGGAACCCUGAUGCAGCAACGCCGCGUGGAGGAUGACGCAUUUCGGUGUGUAAACUCCUUUUAUAUGUCAAGAAAAUGACGGUAGCAUAUGAAUAAGCACCGGCUAACUCCGUGCCAGCAGCCGCGGUAAUACGGAGGGUGCAAGCGUUACUCGGAAUCACUGGGCGUAAAGGACGCGUAGGCGGGUUGGAAAGUCAGGUGUGAAAUCCUACAGCUUAACUGUAGAACUGCACUUGAAACUUCUAAUCUAGAGUAUGGGAGGGGGAGAUGGAAUUAGUGGUGUAGUGGUAAUAUCCGUAGAUAUCACUAGGAAUACCUAAAGCGAAGGCGAUCUCCUGGAACAUUACUGACGCUAAGGCGUGAAAGCGUGGGGAGCAAACAGGAUUAGAUACCCCAGUAGUC